Molecule: ribosomal RNA, 484 nt
Filed under: uncultured bacterium
Lineage: Bacteria
Description: partial 16S ribosomal RNA
Rfam family: Bacterial small subunit ribosomal RNA
Source: RNAcentral
AUUGAACGCUGGCGGCAGGCCUAACACAUGCAAGUCGAGCGGAUGAAGGGAGCUUGCUCCUGGUUUCAGCGGCGGACGGGUGAGUAAUGCCUAGGAAUCUCCCUGGUAUUGGUGGAUAACGUCCUGAAACGGGUGCUACUACUGCCUACGUCCUGCGGGUGAAAGUGGGGGAUCUUCGGACCUUAUCGUAUCAGAUGAGUCUAGUUCGGGUGAGCUAGUUGGUGGGUUAAGGGGCUACUAAGGCGACGAUCCGUAACUGGUCUGAGAGAAUGAUCAGUCACACUGGAACUGGAACACGGUCCAGACUCCUAAGGGAGGCAGCAGUGGGGAAUAUUAGACAAUGGUCGAAAGCCUUAUCCAGCCAUGCCGCGUGUGUGAAGAAGGUCUUCGGAUUGUAAAGCACUUUAAGUUGGGAGGAAGGGCAGUAAGUUAAUACCUUGCUGUUUUGACGUUACCAACAGAAUAAGCACCGGCUAACUUCGUG